Molecule: ribosomal RNA, 406 nt
Filed under: uncultured bacterium
Lineage: Bacteria
Description: partial 16S ribosomal RNA
Rfam family: Bacterial small subunit ribosomal RNA
Source: RNAcentral
AUUGAACGCUGGCGGCAGGCCUAACACACGCAAGUCGAACGAGUGGCGGACGGGUGAGUAAUGUCUGGGAAACUGACUGAUGGAGGGGGAUAACUACUGGAAACGGUAGCUAAUACCGCAUACCAUCGGAUGUGCCCAGAUGGGAUUAGCAAGUAGGUGGGGUAAAGGCUCACCUAGGCGACGAUCCCUAGCUGGUGUGAGAGGAUGACCAUCCACACUGGAACUGAGACACGGGCCAUCCUCCGACGGGAGGUAGCAGUGGGGAAUAUUGCACAAUGGGCGCAAGCCUGAUGCAGCCAUGCCGCGUGUAUGAAGAAGGCCUUCGGGUUGUACAGUACUUUCAGCGGGGAGGCGUUACCCGCAGAAGAAGCACGGGCUAACUCCAUACCAGCAGCCGAGGUAGUUC